This is a long non-coding RNA of Eriocheir sinensis (Chinese mitten crab), 18363 nucleotides long. RefSeq lists it as uncharacterized. The record is from RefSeq and is a predicted model, not a curated record. The transcript has 4 exons. NCBI's taxonomy places the organism in Eukaryota, Metazoa, Arthropoda, Malacostraca, Decapoda, Varunidae.
ACGAGAGAGAGUUAUGCGAAACUGAACACAUUUCCACCAUUAGCUUUACGAAUUAAAAUAAGACUCACAAAAAAAUAUAUAAACUAAGAAUGUGAGACAGUACAGAGGAUAUAUACGAAUAGAUGUGAUUGAUCGAUUGUAAAGUUCUGUAAGUAAAUAAAUGAAAAAUGGAAGUUAAAGAAAUUGCUUAAGCUUAAGUAUGUAAAACAGUAGAAGAGGAAAGGAAGAAUGGAAAGGACAGGUCGAUUGUAAACUUAUAAAACGAAUAGAAAAUAAAAAUGGCAGUAAAAGAAAUUCAACAAAUACCCAAAGCUUAUAAGUAUGUGCAGCAGAAGAGGAGGAUUGAACGAGUGGAAAUACCAGGUCAAUUUUUGAGUCCUGAAAACGAAUAGAAAAAUAAAAAUGGGAGUAAAAGAAAUUGAACAAAUACCCAAAGUUUAUAAGUAGGUAAAGCAGAAGAGGAGGAUUGAACGAGUGGAAAUAACAGGUCAAUUUUUAAGUUCUGAAAACGAAUAGAAAAAUAAAAAUGGAAGUAAAAGAAAUUGAACAAAUACCCAAAGUUUAUAAGUAGGUAAAGCAGAAGAGGAGGAUUGAACGAGUGGAAAUAACAGGUCAAUUUUUAAGUUCUGAAAAUGAAUAGAAAAAAGGAUUAAAGUAAAAGAAAUUAAACAAAUCCAGUAAGUUUAAGUAUGUACAGCAGAAGAGGAGGAUUGAAUGAGUGGAAAUAACAGGUCGAAUUUUAAAGUUCUGAAAAUGAAGAGAAAAAAUAAAAUAGAUGGAAAUAAAACAAAUAGAAGGAAAUAAACUCAAGAUAACCCAAACAACAGACUUACAUUCCUUCAAAAAAACAAAUUAAUCAACUUCAGAGCGAAAAUACAAACAAACGUCCAAAUGAAUGGAUAAAACAUCAUCCUUAACCAAUCAAAAGAAGAAGAUAAUUAGAAAAAUAAUAAGUACUACAAUGAUCUUUCUUUCGGCCACCUCUUUUAAUUCUUUUUUGGGAGCAGCGAGUAGCGGGCUUUUUUUAUUAUUGUUUUUUUUGUGUGCCCUUGAGCUGCCUCCUUUGUUGUAAAAAAAAAAUGAAUGGAAAGUGGAAAAAUUAUCUACGGACAAAAUAAUGACAGGUUAAUUAUGCCCUACACCACCUGGGCACAACACUAAACAUUUGGAGUCAGGAAGAAGCAGGUGAUGGUGGUGGUGGUGGUGGUGGUGGUGAUGGUGGUGAUGGUGGUGGUGACCUCUUCCUAGACCAAUGAGUGUGGCGUGUAUGUCCUCCUGACCCGCUAAUAGCAACGACAACAACAACAAAACAAAAACACCCAUCAUUAUGUUAAGUUAGGCCUAGGAACACGUACAAUACCUGGCAGCUUCUUAACAACAACAACAACAACAACAACAACAACAACAACAACAACACCCAUUAUCAUGUUAAGUUAGGCCUAGGAACCCGUACAAUACCUGCUAGCUUAAUGACUAACAACAACUAUAACAUAACAUCCACCAUCGUGUUUGAGAUAGGCCUAGAAACUUGUAUUAUACCUGUUAGCUUAUUUCUCCCUCGUUAUAACUAUUCGUGUAUACCCUGUCUGCAUUUGACUAAGUGUAGGAUUCGUGAAGUUGAUUAAGGAUCUGUAUAUAGGCAUUUGUUGGUUCUAAAUAAGUUUGGUAAGCUGUAGGAACUCGUAUGAUACCUGUUAGCUUCUUUUUUUCUUUCUAUCUAUUUGUGUAUAUUAUCUUUUUGCUCAUAGAUAGGUUUAAAAUUUCAAGAGUUUAUUAAGAAUGUGUAUAAAGGUAUUUCCACCAAUAUCUUCUAAGUUUGGUAAGCUGUAGGAACUCGAAUUAUACCUGUUAGCUUGUUUUUCAUUCUAUCAAUCAGCUUAAUUCCUCUUUUUGCUCAUAGAUAGGUUUAAAUUUUAAGUUUAUUAAGAAUGUGUAUAAACGUAUUUCAAUCAAUAUCUUCUAAGUUUGGUAAGCUGUAGGAACUCGAAUUAUACCUGUUAGUUUGUUUUUCAUUCUAUCAAUCAGCUUAAUUCCUCUUUUUGCUCAUAGAUAGGUUUAAAAUUUAAGUUUAUUAAGAAUGUGUAUGAACGUAUUUCAAUCAAUAUCUUCUAAGUUUGGUAAGCUGUAGGAACUCGAAUUAUACCUGCUAGCUUUUUCUCAUUCUCUCUAUCAGUUUAAUUCCUCUUUUUGCUCAUAGAUAAGUUUAAUAUUUCAAGAGUUUAUUUUAGAGAUGAGUAUAAAUCAAUUUCUUCAUUAUUUUUGUGUUUGGUAAGCUGUAGGAACUCGUAUUAUACCUGUUAGAUUUUUUCUCAUUCUAUCAAUCAGUUUAAUUCCUCUUUUUGCUCAUAGAUAGGUUUAAAAUUUGAGUUUAUUAAGAAUGUGUAUAAGGUAUUUCUUCAUUAUUUUUGUGUUUGGUAAGCUGUAGGAACUCGAAUUAUACCUGUUAGAUUUUUUCUCAUUCAAUCUAUCAGUUUAAUUCCUCUUUUUGCUCAUAGAUAGGUUUAAAAUUUGAGUUUAUUAAGAAUGUGUAUAAGGUAUUUCUUCAUUAGUUUUGAGUUUGGUAAGCUGUAGGAACUCGUACGAUAUCGGUUAGCGUUUUUCUCAUUUUCUCUAUCAGUUUAAUUCCUCUUUUUGCUCAUAGAUAGGUUUAAAAUUUCAAGAGUUUAUGUUAAGGAUGUGUAUUAAAUCAAUUUCUUCAUUAUUUUUGUGUUUGGUAAGCUGUAGGAACUCGUACGAUACCAGUUAGCUUUUUCUCAUUUUAUCAAUCAGUUUAAUUCCUCUUUUUGCUCAUAGAUAGGUUUAAAAUUUCAAGAGUUUAUUAGGAAUGUGUAUAAAGUUACUUCCCUCGUUAUUUUUGUGGUUGGUAAAGUGUAGGAACUCGUAUUAUGCCUGUUAGCUUGUUUUUAAUUUUCUCUAUCAGUUUAAUUCCUCUUUUUGCUCAUAGCUAGGUUUAAAAUUUCAAGAGUUUGUUAAAAAUGUGUAUAAAGUUACUUCCAUCGUUAUAUUUGUGGUUGGUAAAGUGUAGGUACUUAGAUCAUACCUGUUAGCCUGAUUCUUUAUCUAAUUGUGCAUAUUUUUAUUUUAUUUCGUAGAGGAGUGUAAGGCUUGUGGAAGGGAUUAAGGGGGUGUGUUCUAAGUUCUCUCUGAUUGUUAAGGUUCAGGCACUCGAAUUAUACAUGACAUCUUGCUUUUCCCAUCUAACUGUGUAUAUUCUUUCUCUUGUAUUCCUUAGUGUAGGGUUUAUGGAACUGAUUAAGGAUGUUUGUGUAGGUAUAUCUUGGUUUUCUCUAUGUUUGGUAAGGUGUAAACACUCGUAUGAUACCUGUUGGCUUAUUUCUCCUUCAGUCUAUCAGUGUAAAUUCUUUCCCUCGUAUUCCUCAGUGUAGGGUUUAUGGAGCUGAUUAAGGAUGUGUUUAAGGGUAUGUAUUUGUUUUCUUCCUCUUUGGUAAGGUUUAGGCACUCGUAUGAUACCUGUUGGCUUAUUUCUCCUUCAGUCUAUCAGUGUAAAUUCUUUCCCUCGUAUUCCUCAGUGUAGGGUUGAUGGAUAUGAUUAAGGAUGUGUGUGUAGGUAUAUCUUGGUUUUCUUUGUUUGGUAAGGCUUAGGCACUCGAAUGAUACCUGUUGGCUUAUUUCUCCUUCAAUCUAUCAUCCUUUCUCUCGUAUUCCUCAGUGUAGGGUUUAAGGAGCUGAUUAAGAAUGUGUGUAAGGGUAUGUAUUUGUUUUCCCCAUGUUUGGUAAGGUGUAGACACUCGUAUGAUACCUGUUCCCUUAUUUCUCCUUCAUUCUAUCUGUGUAAAUCCUUUCUCUCGUAUCCUAAGUACUCGGUUAAUGGAAAUGAUUAAGGAAUGGUAUAAGAUUCUUCCCUUUUUUGUGUAAGAACGUGUAUCAUACCAGUAGUUCGUUUCACUUAUCUAUCAGUGUAUACGUUUUCGCGCACAAGUCCGAGUGUAGCGUUUAACGAAGUGAUUAAGGUUUGGUAUAGUUAAGAUUCUUCCUUUUUGUGUGUGUAUGUAGGGACCCGAAUUCCGCCCGGUAGCUUGUUUCUUGUUCCAUCAGUACGUGUAUAUUGUUUCGCGUAUGUCUGAAUCUAGUGUUUAUGCUGUUGGUUAAGGAUUUGUAUAUAGGUUCGUCUUUGUUCGUUGUUUUGUUUUCUCUCUGGUAGGCUAAGAAGUGGUAGGAGCUAAGUCUUGAGUGGGCAGCGAGGAAGCAAUGUUCAUGUUUGUGUUUGCGAUAACGACGACUUUUACGACAACAGCAAAUCUAGAACGUGAGAAAAUGUUUAGUUUGCGAAAAGACGAAGUGGAAGGAAGCGCGAUUUGUAAUUCAUAUAUAUCUUAGAGAGAGUACAUACUUUAAUUUCCCGACUAGCAGGAAAUUAGGUAAAUCGUUUUGAGGUUUAGAAUGUCGCAAAAGAGGAUAUUUGGGAUAAUCGAACAACCAUCGUACUCGUGUCAGGAAACAUUAUUUAGUACAUUAACUUGAAAGAAGUAAAAGUCAUUGAAAAGUUUGGACAAGAGAAAGACAAUAAAAAAAUGAAAAAAAAUGCGUUGGAAAGGUUUAAACUGACAAAGAGAUUAAGAUGCCGUUCAAAAAUCGUAGAAAAUUACUUGCAAUUUAUAUAUACGUUGAUUUUUAGAGGAGAAUUUUAAACAUAUCAUUCAUAACACAAAAUCGAUUACGCAGCCACUUGGAAAAACCGCUUAAAACAUAUAAUAACAGAUCCAAGUUAUAAAAAGGACUGAGAUAUAUUGAAUUAGUAAAAGAAACGAAACACCGAGGAAAAAAGGAGAGAUUAAUGAGCAAACAAAUUAAGACAGAUUAAAACUUGUCUCCCAAAACUCGAGCAUAAAGAAAUAGUUAGUCUUUACGUGUCAUUUCUAAUGUGUGAUGUAUAUAAAAAAAUUACCUUGAUUCUCCAGUGAGCAUAAAAAAGUGUACAUAUAUUUAGCUUGUGAUAGAAAAAAAUGUUGUACAAAUGAAUGAAUGAAACCGGUUAUCCAGCACGUGACGGUAAAAAUAGAUUAAAAUGCAGACAAAAGUGAAGUAAAUGAAAAUGUUAAACUAAACUGCACACGAAUGUCAAAGAACGCAUAGGUUAAGACUAGUGUUAAAAACUUCGAUAUAAGGAGAUUCGUUACUUAUACAGAGAAAGAUAAAGUGAAUGUAAGAGUUUUGAGAAUCUGAAACUAAAAUGAGGAAGAAUGACAUUGAACGAAUAGAUUAAGAUUAGUGUAAAAACCUUCGACAUAAGGAAAUUCGUUACUUAUACAGAGAAAUAUAAAGUGAAUGUAAAAGUUUUGAGAAUGUGAAACUAAAGUGCAGAAGAAGGACAUUGAACGAAUAGAUUAAGAUUAGUGUAAAAACUUCGAUAUAAGGAAAUUCAUUACUUAUACAGAGAAAUAUAAAGUGAAUGUAAGAGUUUUGAGAAUGUGAAACUAAAAUGAGGAAGAAUGACAUUGAACGAAUAGAUUAAGAUUAGUGUAAAAACCUUCGACAUAAGGAAAUUCGUUACUUAUACAGAGAAAUAUAAAAUGAAUGUAAGUUGAACGAAUAGGUUAAAAUUAGUGAAAAACCUUCGAUAUAAGAAAAUUAAUUACGUUAGAGUGAAUGUGUGAUGUGGAUAUUCGUAACUGGGGGAGAGAGAGAGAGAGAGAGAGAGAGAGAGAGAGAGAGAGAGAGAGAGAGAGAGAGAGAGAGAGAGAGAGAGAGAGAGAGAGAGAGAGAGUGUGUUUAGUCUUAGCAGAGCAUUCCCUCAGCCUACACAUGCACACACAUUUACGCACAUGUGUCUGCGUAUACCUACACACACACAUGCAUGCGUACACAUAGAUACAUAAGAUAUUGAUAAGUAUACUGCAUCACACACACACACACACACACACACACACACACACACACACACACACACACACACACACACACACACGAAUAGUUUAAGUUCCCUUCAAUACAACGAAACUGACGAAGACUUAAAAAUAUAGGCCUACAGGUGAGAGGCCUAAGGGGAGAGGGGGCGACACACACACACACCCACACCCACACCCACACACACACACACACACACACACACACACGCACAUACCGCCCCCCAAAUCCUUGCAUGGUCCCACAACAGCUUCCUUACAAUCGUACUUUACAAUUAUUAUUACUAUUAUCAUUAUCAUUAUUAUUAUUAUUACAUUUAUUUCUCUGUUAGCAAGUAGUUAAGAAGAAGCUUUAGCCUGUAUAGAGUUACGAUCGUAUACCUUUUGCCCUUGAUCAUUUGCACAGCUUUAUUCUUUUUUUUGUUGUUGUUUGUUUUGUUUUAGUGAAUAAUUUCGUAUAAGCUUAAUUUGCUAGGUUAGUGAAGUGGAUCUUGUUUUAGUUUUUAUUCCUCGCUUUUGCUCACAGUAGUUUUAUUUGAGUGCUUGCGUGUGUGUGUGUGUGUGUGUGUGUGUGUGUGUGUGUGUGUACUUAUUAUGUAACUUCUAUUAAGCUUUAGCGAUUAAUUAACUUGAGUGAUGAGAGAAGAAAAGGAGGAGGAGGAGGAAUAGAGAGAGAGGGAGGAAAGUAGGAAGGAAGGAAGAGAGAGAAAGAAGCCUCGGAUGAGUGGUUAACGAUCUAAAAAUGUGCUGUACAACAUAUGUGAUAACUACCACCACCACCACAACAACAACCACAACAACAGCCAUGGUACAACUUAGGGUUACGGAAACAGGUUGGUGUGUGCAGGUCAGGUGUGCAGUGACAGGUAAACAAACACAGGUAGAGGUAGAAAGGACUUACAUACCAAAUCGGGACACGCUCGGCAAUUUGUACGCGGUAUUCCUGACUUAGUGCGCAUAACAAGAUAAAGAAAAACUGCCCUGGAAAACGAAGAUGAGGUAUUUAGAAGUGAAAAGUUGUCGAUGUAACGUUUGGUAAUCAGUUGAUCUCUUUGUUGACCUUUCUUUUGGACAUUCUUCUAAACUCAUUUUUUAUAGCGGGAGUGAUUAGCGUUUUUUUCUCUUUAUUUUUUGCCCUUAAGAUGCUUCCUUUAAUGUAAUAUCUCGACAAUCGUUCACUUUCAAACCUCGAUCAUUUUAUAGCGGCAGUGAUUAGCCGUUUUUUUCUCUUUAUUUUUUGCCCUUGAGAUGCUUCCUUUAAUGUAAUAUCUCGACAAUCGCUCACUUUCAAACCUCACUCAUUUUAUAGCGGCAGUGAUUAGCGUUUUUUUCUCUUUAUUUUUUGCCCUUGAGAUGCUUCCUUUAAUGUAAUAUCUCGACAAUCGUUCACUUUCAAACCUCGAUCAUUUUAUAGCGGCAGUGAUUAGCGGUUUUUUUCUCUUUAUUUUUUGCCCUUAAGAUGCUUCCUUUAAUGUAAUAUCUCGACAAUCGUUCACUUUCAAACCUCACUCAUUUUAUAGCGGCAGUGAUUAGCGGUUUUUUUCUUCCUCUCAAUCAUUUUUAUGCCCAAGAUAUGUUUCCUUCACUGCAAUAUCUCGACAAUCGUUCACUUUCAGACCCCAAUCGGUUUCCAGGCUAGUUAACCUUUCCCUUAAUCUGCGUACUAAUAGGAAAACCGCGUACUAAAUCGGUGAGCACAUCCACCCUAACCAAAUCAACGUCAAAUCAACCCUCAAACGUGCAAUGAUACAAACCAACCAACAACACAUCCAAGACAGGUACACACCGAUGCAGUGAUUCAGAAAGGUACAAAAAACAAUUACUUUAGAGAGAGUAAGAGAGAGAGAGAGGGAGAAAGACUGUAAGAUCGAGAGAGAGAGAGGAAGGAAGAAGAGUGCAAGAGUGACUGGGUCUGUUCACGGGGUCUACGCUUUAUGUGAUGUCGACAAAGUACAAUACGAGGAGCAAGCAGAAGGAGAGAUAACAGUAAGCCUUAGACAGUACAACGUGGAGGGAGGGAAGAAGAGGAGGAGGAGAAACCCAGGACAGAGACAGCCAGAUUGAGUGUACGUGUGUGUGAGUGUGAGUGUGUGUGGACGGUGAGGUGAGGAUGGAGUGUGAUGCUGAGGUGUUAGUGUUAGUGUAGCCAGUUGGGUGGUGGUGUGGAGGGCAAGAGAACACAUUAGGGGUGAAGGAAGGCUAUGGGAAGGAGGGAGAUGAAGGUUCCUGAGAGCACGUAGGAUAUUUUUUUGUUGUUGUUGUUCUCUGGUGAUUCUAAAUACAACUUGCUUUAGAGAUACGUUAUAAGAUCUUUGCAUGGUUGAUUUUUUUGUUUUUUUUAGUGGGAACACCGACGGAUACACACACACACACACACACACACACACACACACACACACACACACACACACACAACGUUACAGAUAUAUAAAGAAUGCAGCAUCUAGUGUAUAUGAUUACUUACCGUACUUUAAAUAAAUGAUGUUCACAAAGUGGUCAAUAGGAGAAUGAUAAUAAUAAUAAUAAUAAUAAUAAUAAUAAUAAUAAUAAUAAUAAUAAUAAUAAUAAUAAUAAUAAUAAUAAUAAUAAUAAUAAUAAAUGUGUCUUCAAUAUUUGUACUAGUGCAUUAACAUCACUAUUCUCUGAGCUACCGGCUAAAAUAACUUUAAAUAGGCAUCAUUAUAUUAGUUAACUCUUACAACAACUUAUAUCAACAUUCGCCAGUAAGAUCAGACAGUCGCCGGGGCUCGCCUCAACCAUCAACGACCCCGCGGCGACACACACAAACAAACUCCUGUACAAACACUUCUUCCUCAAUGUCCUCUAUAUACACGUUGUUGAUAACCUCUAGCUUCUCAAUGUGACUUCUAGAAUAUACGUAUCAUUUUUAAGUGAGUUACCCCCUCCUCCCCCUCCCCUUCAGGUCCUGUUUUUCGUAGUACAAUCAUUUAUUUCGUUGUUUCUUCUUUCACUUGGUCUUCACGCUAAGUUUUUUUUCGUCGUAGGGAUUUAGUCAACGUUACAAAACACCUUCGGAAGAGUUGGUUUCAAGUUGCGUGGUUAAGAUCAAGUCGCAAAGCUUAAGUUUAAUGCUUUAACAAACACCGUCUUAAUUUAGUCAUGUGUUUCUCUUUUAGUAUUAGACGCCUGCUUAUGUUUUACUUUUUCUCUCUCUCUUUUUUUGUGUUACAGUACCUACAAAUUAGUUUCCAUUACCUGUACAGAACUUUGGGUUAGGUAAGGUUAGGCAGUACGUUUAAAUUUGUUUCUAUUAAUUGUACAGAACUUUGGGUUGGGUUAAGUUAGGGCAGGGUAGGUUAGGGAGGACCUUUAAAUUUGUUUCCAUGGUUUGUACAGAACUUUGGGUUGGGUUAAAUUAGGGUAAGGAAGGUUAGGGAGGACCUUUAAAUUUGUUUCCAUUACCUGUACAGAACUUUGGGUUGGGUUAGGUGAGGGUAGGUUAGGCAGGACCUUUAAAUUUGUUUCCAUUAAUUGUACAGAACUUUGGGUUAGGUUAGGUUAGGUUAGGGUAGGUUAAGUUAGGCAGUACCUUUAAAUUUGUUUCCAUUACCUGUACAGAACUUUGGGUUAGGUUAGGUUAGGGUAGGUUAGGCAGGACCUUUAAAUUUGUUUCUAUUACUUGUACAGAUCUUUGGGUUAGGUUAUCAGCAAGUCAAGUUAGGUCAGGUUAAGUUAGGUUAGGUUAGGGUAGGCAGUACCUUUAAAUUUGUUUCCAUUACCUGUACAGAACUUUGGGUUGGGUUAAGUUUGGGUAGGGUAGGUUAGGCAGUACCUUUAAAUUUGUUUCCAUUACCUGUACAGAACUUUGGGUUAGGCUAGGUUAGGGUAGGUUAGGCAGGACCUUUAAAUUUGUUUCUAUUACUUGUACAGAUCUUUGGGUUAGGUUAUCAGAAGUCAAGUUAGGUCAGGUUAAGUUAGGUUAGGUUAGGGUAGGCAGUACCUUUAAAUUUGUUUCCAUUACCUGUACAGAACUUUGGGUUAGGCUAGGUUAGGGUAGGUUAGGCAGGACCUUUAAAUUUGUUUCUAUUACUUGUACAGAACUUUGUGUUAGGUUAUAAAUAAGUCAAGUUAGGUUAGGUUAGGUUAUUCAGUACUUAAAUUUCUCUCCAUUACUUAUACAGAACUUUGGGUUAGGUUAUAAGUAAGUCAGGUUAGGCUUGGUUAGGUAAGAUAAGGUCAAGUUAGAUUUCCAUUACUUGUACAGAAUUUAGGGUUGGGUUAGAUUAUAAAUAAGUCUAGUUAGGUUAGGAUAAGUUAAGAUAGGCAGUACUUUUCAAUAUGUUUCCAUCACUUGUACAGAACUUUGGUUUAGGUUCUAAGUCAAGUCGAAUAACUGUGACGUUAGGAUAGGCAUUACUUUUCAAUUUGUUUCCAUCACUUGUACAGAAUUUUGGUUUAGGUUCUAAGUCAAGUCGAGUAGGUGUGACGAAUAUUUCUUUACAUGUUUAGGAUUAAAGGCUAAGGAGCUCUGAUCGGCCCGGUGCCCGCUCUUACCGAGACUCCUGCGUCGGCCCAAUCAAUACAUAAACCAGUAUGAAUAAGCAGCCCUUACCCGCCCUCGCUGCCCAGUGCUGUUCCUCCGACUUCCAAAGAUUAUUUUUAUGACGAUGGAAAUACACAAGAGGUACAAGCAAACUCGAAAUCACGGACCAGUCAUCGUGCCAACUGAAUGAUUCGCUUUUGUAUUGAUCAAGUGAUUUUUUUUUUUGUUUGCUCUUGAAUGAGAUGCCAAUGAAUGGUGAGGAACAUGAGUGUGUGGUGAGGAGUGAAGAUGAUUUUGGUGGUGUGAAAAUGAGGAGAAUGGUGAAGAAACUAAGAUUGGAGAGUUGGAUACCGAGGAGUCAAGUCUAUCCUCAGAAAUUUAAUGAAGGAUUUUUUUUUUUUUUUUUGGCUAACAUAAAUCAGUAAAGGUGAAAAUGAGUUAGGCGGUGUGAAAAACAAGAAACAGAGGAAAAAACUUUGAUUGAAGAGUUGAACAUCAUGAAGUCAAGUCUACCAACAGAAAUUUAAUGAAGGAUUUUUUUUUUUUUGGCUAACAUAAAUCAGUAAAGGUGAAAAUGAAUUAGGCGGUGUGAAAAAUAAGAAACAGAGGAAAAAACUUAGAUUGAAGAGUUGAACAUCACGAAGUCAAGUCUACCACCAGAAAUGUAGUGAAGGAUUUCUUUGCUAACAUAAAUCAGUAAAAAUGAAGAUGAAUUAGGCGGUGUGAAAAAUAAGAAACAGAAGAAACUUAGAUUGAAAAGUUGAACAUCACGAAGUCAAGUCUAUCCACAGAAAUUCAGUGAAAGAGUAAUUUGAUCACAUAAAUCAGUUAAACCAUAAAAAAAAAAACAAGAUACCAUUUAGAUUUUCCCGUCGUCAAGACCAGAUACCAAGAGCCAGCUACAGUAAAGAACACCAGAGUGAUAUCAAUAUAGUUCAGAGUCUAACAAUGCACAGUAAAGCCUCGACACAACACAGGUACGACUAGACGAAGGUGCUCGAUAUGACAGACUAAAGAAAAGGUUGGGGCGAUGGAAACUGAUACCAACUGAGACUGUUUCCUCACUGUAGGGGCUUCAGGGUGGGGCUCCGAGGUGGUGAUAUGAGGGAGGGAACGCUUGGGACCCUAAAAGACUGACUGACUGACUUGACUUUGGUACCGACGUUAAGAUCUUGGGUUUCGCGUGACGGACUUUGACUAAUUUCUUUGUGCGGCGGUUCACGCAAGGUGGCGCAAAGGUACAGCCAGGCAGGUUCGCAAGGAGACGUAGGCAAUAAGCAGUGUAAUUCUAAGUCAUUAUUCGUGAACUUAGAUGCAGUGGUUCCCGACGCAUGUGACUCGACUCGAAGGUAUUUGAUUUAUUCGAUGCAGCCGAAGUUCUGACGCAAAAUUCAACUCUCUCUCACAUGAAGUUCAACACGGAUACAACGAAAUGCUAUUGAUUAAACGACCGUCUACGUUAUACAGUGAUUUCAGUGACCUUAUCUACUAGCCUUCAGCGGUGCAAUUUCGGCGGAGAGUUGUUUAAAUAAUUUUUCGAAAGGACCACGCGAUUAACUUUUCCGUGGACAAAUUAUAACAGCAACGUUUCGAUUUGGAAUGUUCGGAGGUAUAUUUUGUCAUGCUCUAGUUAGGAAGAUAAUCAUUAUGUCUCGUUAGGAAUUUCAGAAGUUCAGUUUUUGAAGUCCAAGAUUUUCAAGUGUUUCUGAGGGCGAGAUUUUUAGUGUUUCAGAGACCGGAAGUGUUGUGUUCAUAACCUUGUGUUGCUGACUGAGACUCGACCACCUGACGCGGGCUUCCUCUCUCCCGCUCUCUCUCAGCCGGGACGCACACGAACACACCCUCACGUAUAUACACAUGUACGUGCGGGUGUGUACGUGUGCCGGAAGGACUGUUACGCAUGUGUGAGACGAGUACAUUUGGGAACGACAUGAUAGAGUUCCACAGCAAGUAUGGUUUGUAAAAUUAUAAUAACCCCGUGUACAGUGUGUAGCCAAAAGGUAAUAUAUUGUAAUACUGAUAUCUCUGAAUAGUACAUCACGAGCAGCCGCUUUUGUUACCGUUACCCUCUGUCUCCGGCCACAAAAAAAUACAUGUCUGUACCAAAACAAAAGGCCGGCAGCGCGGUCUGUGUAGUAGUCCUUUGACGGGUGAAAUGCGGUACAAAUUUUCCCUAUUGAAGUCCAGUCUACGAUUACCACAAUGUAAGGUCCAUUAUUUGCUCUGGCCAGACGUUAUUACAGGAGAGAGAAAGAGAUAAAGAGAGAUAGAGAGAGAGAGAGAGAGAGAGAGAGAGAGAGAGAGAGAGAGAGAGAGAGAGAGAGAGAGAGAGAGAGAGAGAGAGAGAGAGAGAGAGAGAGAAUAGUAUGAGUGCGUGUGUCAGUGUGUGUUAGGAGACCCCCGCAUGACGCCCGCCCACGCCCACGCCACUGUGUUGUUAUGAAGGGGAAGGGAACGCCGUCAGGAGCACGCCCGUCGUUGUAGUGGGCGGGACGAUGAGGUGCUCCAACCCUACACUUGUUAACGCACUCACAAGGCUACUCUGCGACGCCGGGGGGGUAAGAAGGAGUUGGUAAUGGGCGGCGGCUGCUGGGACGCUGGGGCAGGCUAAGACAAGACCCAGCGCCAGCAUCGUGCCCGCUCACUGCCGUCGCUCCUUUCGUGUCCUGCGGCCCUCAAGAGUAGCUUUGUGAGUGUUGGAAAUCUCAGCAUCGUUCUCCAUCUGCGUGGGCGGCGAGCGGUGGCAUGCGGGGGUCCAGUGCCGGCACGGACCGAGGCUGACUGAUUGGCACUCUCUGCACGACGCGCACGAGGCGGAGCAAACAACGCCGCCGCCAGGAAGUGAACACGUCGGAGAACACAAGGAACACCACCUGCUGUCCUGUUUCCGCUGCUGGACGCCUGAGUUUCCUCGCCCCGAGUCUGGUGUACCGGUGUACUUUUUUGGGAUCGUUUUAUCCAGAGUUGUACAGUAAGAUGUAACUUUUUAAUCUUUAGACCAAUAUGACAAUAAGGAAUUAUAUGUGUUGGAACGACAAUGAAUUUAGUUUAUAGAAAAAAAAAUGCAUAUGAGUAAAUUAGCUUCAAAAUGACUGGUUUAGUUGCCUUACUAGAUGAGACAGACAAAACAUAAUCCAGCAUCAAUCUCCCUUGAACAUUUACUACGACUUCAUUCAUCAACCCAACAACCAGAAUACAGUGUUGCCUCAUUGUCUUUCCACAACUCAAAACACUUAAUGUAAAGAUAAAGGGUUCUGCCUCUUAGUUCCUGUUCGCCGAUAGAGCUAAUGAGAACGAGUUUAAGAGUAUAAGAAACUAAAAAGCUAACUAAGAAUUAUUUGCCUUGAUUGGUUAUCUUUGUAAGUAUCCCGCGGCCGUGAGGGAGAGUUUCUCAAGUCCGUCGGUGCCCUCCCACCCACACCUCGGCGAUGCUCACAUGCAGACACACGACGAAAAGUAAACAAACCGAGAAUGAGGCACCAAACGCAGCAACCACUUGAGCAUGAGAUCUAAAUUUUGAAGGUGACGCCGAUCCUCCAUGACCCGCCAGCCUCCGCCAGUAGGUGCGACGCAGGUGGAAGGAGCGGGACGGACUGGGGAGGCUCCUGGGCCGCGGCUGACUAAGUGUGCUUGUAUAUACGGCAUUGACCUCGGCGGCACGGCUCAAGGGAAGGGCAGAGAGGGGGCGUGUGCGUGUGUGUGACCCCGACAUCCACCACAACCACCUUCACCGCUAUCUCCACUCCCUUCACACCCUCACACACCCUUCCCUCACACUCUAGCUACAUGGUCGUGCCGGCAACACCUCCGCCAACACCUACAACACCUUCAUUAAGGAACACCAACAUUACGAGGCACCGCCGGCACUAACACACAGUUUAAUUACAUGUUCUCUCACGUUAAUUUGCACGCACGUAGUCUCUCACACACACACACACACACACACACACACACACACACACACACACACACACACACACGCAAACGCACACGCACGCCCACGCCCCCGCUUUGCCCCGCCCCGCCGGCCCCACAUGGUGUGCUAGAGUACUCCUGUACCUGACUCUACGUUAAGCACCGACGCAGCUCCUGUGCUCUUUAACUCUUGACUCCUCUCGGUUUCUAAAGUGCCCACGAGUACCUCCAUCGCCUUCGUUUCAGCUGACCAACUUCCUCCCUACAAAUGACGCGGAAGAUUCACUUUGUGUUGACCCUCCCGCCGCACUCCUCGUCCCUCCCCCGAACUUUUCUCUUCCUCUGUUUGUUGAGAGCACAUGUAAUUUAAUCUAUUUUUGAUGGAACACGACACCCCUUAGGGAAGCCUACUCCGGAGCACGGGAUUGGAGUCGUUGCGCGGUGAACUGGAUUGUUAUACCAAUCUGAUAGCUGGAUAAGGGUUCCAACUGUGUACAGUACUUCAAUGGCACCUGGCGACCUGCUGUGAGUGAGUGUCCAUGUCCAGCGUCCUAGAGCGCCUAUACUUUCCCUAGACCCAUCCGGCACGAGAUCGGGGUUAAUGUUUUCAGAUGUUUAGUUUUGUGAGUCCUCGACAUUUGACUCCCGACUUCUGCACUCAAAAGAAAAAAAAUAGCUUGGUAAUUGAUGAUACAAAUUGUUUCUCUAUGAAGGUACCAAAAGGUCAAGCCUCAAAACACACCGUCGAUAGGUCCACAUCAUCCUCAGCAGCAGAUAUCACGCGCUCAUACCAGGUGGCCAGGUCGCUUUUAAUUGUGUAGAGAGAAGAAAAAAAAAAUACAACUUUUGCAUCGAUUCCUGAUUCUGUCGACUGAUACGUUUUCUUCAGAAGCUCACUGUAAACUAGAGACAAAAAAACAAGUAUUACAAGAGGGGCGUUGCCUAUUAAUUUUGUAUCAACGAUAAUACUAGUAGGACCGCAUGACGCAGUAGGUAGUGAAGGGAAAGGAACCCGAGCGACGAAGGGAGGCCCGAGGAGCAAGCGAGGUUCUCCCUGCUCCGUGAAUCUAGUGUCGGGGCGGCUGGUGGCUCGGCCCGAUAUACUCUUUGGUCAAUAUUGUCGUUUCACAUUGAAUCUAAAACUUGGGUGAAGCUUUAGCAGGUUGGCAUGGUGAGUUUUUUAUUGUAAUUAUAAAUGCGUGGUUGUUUUUUUUACGCUAAGCCGUUGUAUAUCGCAGGACAGAGCAGGAAAAAGGUGUUUAUAGAUGUAAUGAGCUAGGAUGUACAUUUCUUUACUUGUUUAUGCAUGGAGGGAUAAGGUAAGGUUUGUAAAGAGCAAGGUUUUCCACUAUUGUUGUAUAACUCUGGUGAACAAAUUGGUACGAUAAGGACUUUUUUAUAUAAAGUAACCUAGUGUUUUGAAUAUAGAUUUUUCUUGGUAUCUGACAGUAAUUUGAUAUAUAUUUCAUGUUGACAUGGAGUAACGAUGUUAGGUAAUCGCCUGCGUGUGUUUCACUGGACUGUGUGUUCCGAAUAACGUUACGAUCGCUAUUGAGUUAACCCAAAAUGUCGUGGUGCUAACCAAAUCUGUAUCAAGUGUAAAACCUAAAACAGAACCAAAAAAAGAGAAAAAAAUCAUGACGAAAUCCACUCAAAAAAUUGUAAACAUGAAAAUAAAAGUCAAUGGGAAAAUGUACAACCAACAUCAUGAGGUGAAGACAGGAUGGAUGACAAGUGGAUGAGAGGAAGCAAGUGUGACGGUGACGGUGCGUAUGGCGGGUGCGGGGGGGCAGGUGUAGGGGGAAGAGGGGUGCUAGGUGUGACGCCACGGGGGAGAGGGGUUGUGACGCCCAGGUGAGGCAGGCAGAAUAGAGACAGGUGAGGGAAAAAGAGCUCCCCUUUCCACCCCUCCGGCGGCACUAUGCUUCUGUGAGGGAGAGGGAAAGGGAGAGGGAGAGAGAUAGGGAGAGGGAGAAAGAAAGGGCGCUCUCUCCCUUUUCCCUUCUAGCCAAUAGGACAUCAAACCAACAACAACAACAGCAGCAAUAACAACAACAGAUUCAGGAACAAAAACAUCAACUACUACCAAAUUUGCAACAACGAAUAGAACUCCCUCUGCAAGACCGGUUAACUUACAUCAAAACACUCCAUAGUUUUACACACACACACACACACACACACACACACACACACACACACACACACACACACACACACAAAGAGGAACACACACACUACCACACCAAAGAAUGACAUGUACCGCACCCAACACACAGUUUGAUACAUAUUCAAUACACACAAAAACGAGUCUGAUACACGUAAAAAAACACAAACAAUACAAGCAAAACAACAGGGAGAGAAAGACAGAUAGAUAGACAGAACCGCCGCCCAAACAGCAGCUGCCGGACAAUCCAAACACCAACACAGCCCGAAAGAGAUUAAACAGAUAAAACUCGAAACUGCUAAGAGCUUUUUGUAGGAAAACACAUAAAAAGAAUACAAAUAAAAAUAGUAAACUUUGGGGUAAAAAAUGUAUAAAAAAAAACAAUAAGCGAAGUGGCGUCAACACCCCCUCCUGAACGCCCCCCUUAAUCCCCCCGUAUGGUGGUCCCACGUGGUUAUCUCCCUCCCCCUUACACCAGGCCCUGACAACCCUCCUCCCCGCACCCCCCCGAGGGAAGCCAUGAUAUUGUAGGUCUUUGUUCACGGCUCCUCGGAAUUACAGGUGACGGAUCGGCAGGAAAACGGAAGGUAACUUGGCACCUGCAGAGGGAAGCCGGGACCAACACACGAACACACAUACACAUACACACAUACGUACACACACAGUUACAAUCAGUCAUAUUAUUCUAUUUUCGAGGACAUAACGCUUUCCAAACACACACACACACACAUACACACACACACACGCACAGUUUUAAUCAGUCCAAUUCCAUUUUCGAGGACGUAAUGCUUUCCAAACACAGCAUGAAAAAAAUAAAUUACAACUAAAUAAUCGUUUGUAGCAAUUACCGAAUCACUACUCAGGAAUAAUAAUUGUAUGUGUAAUGAGUGGCCGGCACACUCAUUAACUGGAACUACAAAAAUUGCAGCAGUAAAUUUCCAAACCCAAUUAGACACAGUUUUAUUUCGUUACUUUCUUAUUAGGCCUCACCGGUCAUUAGCAAACUCGCAGGUAAAUAUUUAGACCCAAAACUUCACAAAUAAGCAACCCUCCCCUUAAUGCGCGUGGAGUGACCUUACUCUUUAGAACGCAGCAAGCUCUCACAAAUCACCAACGCUCCCUUGACGCGUGUGGGGUGUGUCUACCAUUUAGUACGCACCUUUCCAAGUGAUAAUGAAGAAAACAAACUAAUCGAGGAGUCUUGAGCUGAGGAAUGAAAAGGAAAAGUUGUUGAGAUGAGAAUAGUUCAACAUUGAUUAUUUCUAAGGACAAUUUCGUUUUCAUUCUUUAGCUUAACUUUCCCGGGGUAGUUUUGAUUGUUCUGAGUGCGAAUUGGAGCGGUGCGUACUAGUUGAUAAACCCGCCUUACACACCAUAAUAAAACAAGUGUAUAGGUUUUUAGUUUCCGUUAUCGAGAAAUUGUUUAGAACCGUAGUAACCAAACUUUGUGUCUAAUCAGUGAACAACAACAUAUCAAAUACAAAAAGACUUCAAUAGUUUCUUGUAUACUGUUUGGUGUUUAUACAGAAGCUGACAAAGUAGAUGAAAACAACCCAGAGUAAACAAAACAAUUCACAUUAAGCAAAACGAUUCACACUAAACAAAACAAUUCACAUUAAGCAAAACGAUUCACACUAAACAAAACAAGUCAUACUAAACGAAACAAUUCACACUAAGCAAAACAGUUCACAUUAAGCAAAACAAUUCACACUGAGCAAAACAAUCACCACUAAAAAAAACAAUCAGCCCAAAACAAAAUAAGACUAAAAAAUACAAAAGAAAAUUCAUUCCAAACAGCAAUUAGUGAUUUUCUUUUCUUCUUACACAAAUGCAUACACACACAAGCUGCCCCACCACACACACACACACACACACACACACACACACACACACACACACACACACACAUACACACA